CCCGCACAAGCAGCGGAGCAUGUGGUUUAAUUCGAAGCAACGCGAAGAACCUUACCUAGACUUGACAUCUCCUGAAUUACCCGUAACUGGGGAAGCUCUUCGGAGCAGGAAGACAGGUGGUGCAUGGUUGUCGUCAGCUCGUGUCGUGAGAUGUUGGGUUAAGUCCCGCAACGAGCGCAACCCUUAUCGUUAGUUGCUACCAUUAGGUUGAGCACUCUAGCGAGACUGCCCGGGUUAACCGGGAGGAAGGUGGGGAUGACGUCAAAUCAUCAUGCCCCUUAUGUCUAGGGCUACACACGUGCUACAAUGGUGAGAACAAAGAGAGGCAAGACCGCGAGGUGGAGCAAAUCUCACAAAACUCAUCCCAGUUCGGAUUGCAGGCUGAAACUCGCCUGCAUGAAGCCGGAGUUGCUAGUAACCGCAGGUCAGCAUACUGCGGUGAAUACGUUCCCGGGCCUU
RNAcentral lists this ribosomal RNA (459 nucleotides) under uncultured Clostridium sp. RNAcentral describes it as "bacterial SSU rRNA". It matches the Rfam family "Bacterial small subunit ribosomal RNA", at positions 920 to 1382 of the family's 1533-position model. Lineage: Bacteria; Bacillati; Bacillota; Clostridia; Eubacteriales; Clostridiaceae. The record is from RNAcentral.